UCCACGCCGUAAACGAUGGAUACUAGUUGUUGGGAUUUAUCUCAGUGACUAAGCGAAAGUGAUAAGUAUCCCACCUGGGGAGUACGGUCGCAAGACUGAAACUCAAAGGAAUUGACGGGGGCCCGCACAAGCGGUGGAGCAUGUGGUUUAAUUCGAUGAUACGCGAGGAACCUUACCAGGGCUUAAAUGUAGUCUGACAGCUUUAGAGAUAGAGUUUUCUUCGGACAGAUUAC
RNAcentral lists this ribosomal RNA (233 nucleotides) under uncultured bacterium. RNAcentral's name for it is "partial 16S ribosomal RNA". It matches the Rfam family "Bacterial small subunit ribosomal RNA", at positions 794 to 1034 of the family's 1533-position model. The record is from RNAcentral.